GUUCUGUCCCACCGUCUCAGUGGGUGAACGCACCCCUCACGCUACUGAUCUUGGCAUUUGACUUGUUCUUUUUCCAGACAGUCCUAAGGUGAAUCAUUAACUAAUUUACUAGAUAUUUAACUGAUAUCUUAAUGUAGGUACUUUGCCCUUUAAACAUCUCUCUUAGGUCUGUUUACAUUGCAUCACACAGAUUUUCAAAACUCAUUUGAAAUCUCAGUUCUAACAGACCUUCUAUUACAUUAGACUUGGUGUUUCUUUCUUGACAAUUUCAAUGUGCUUUCUUUGUUUACUUACACAAUUCUGAGGGAAGAUUCUUUUUUAGUUUUUGUGUUACCCUACUUUCCACCUGUAUCUGAGUUGGCAUCUGUUCCAACAGAAAGCAACUUAUAGAGAUGUUGUGGAAUAUUAAGAUGUAUUACAUUCAUUUAUGUUGUAGAACAUUUAUUUUAAUGUUUCAAAGAUGUGUUGCAUUCGUUUAUGUUUAAUUUGUUUAAUUCUGUGAAGCUGUGAAACUUUGCCUGUCUAAAACACCUGAUGUUCUAAUAGAGAGCUAACCAGGCAAUAUUAAGGCAGGAAAAAAUGAUAGGCAUGGCUGGUAGGCAGAGAGAAUAAAUAGAAAGAGAACUCAUGGAAAAGAGAUGGAGGAGAAAGAAAGGAGAAUGACUUUGGGGUCUAGUCACCCGGCUACAUAGCAAGUCACAGAGUAAGGAAGAAAGAAAAGAUAUGCAAGAAAUAGGAAAAGGUAAAAGCCCAAUGAUAAAAGACGGAUGGGAUAAUUUUAUUUUUUGACUAGAAAAAAGCGAAGCUAAGGCUUACAUUUAUAAAAAAGAAUAAGUCUCCAUAUCUGAUUUAUUUGUGAGCUGUGAGGCAGACCCCCCAAAGAGCAAAGAAAAAAAAAGAGUAAAACAGCCAAUAACGUUUUGGCAUUCCAACACAGGGCUAGAAUAAAAGAAAAUCCAAUAGCAGAGAGAAAAGUUUUGGUUUUGCUUACAACUCCAGGUUACAGUUUAUCAUUGGAAAGUUUUGGUAGGAAAUUAAAGCACAACAUUUCACAGUCAAGAGCAGAGAGACAAUAUGUUUGCCCUGCUUUCUUGCUUGCAGGUAACUUUCUCUUCCCUACUUUUCUACACUAUGAUGAGUUGUGAAUCAUGCUGCCCACAUUGUGUUCCACAUUUCUACAUUAUUAAUGAACUAUAAGAACAACCUUUAAAAGACAUUCCCACAGAUCAAUAUAAUCUAGAAUAUUCCUCAUUCAAAUUCUCUUUCAAGAUAGUUUUAUGGUGUGUUAAGUUAACAUUAAAAGCUACGAAACACAAAAUCUCUUUUCUUAUCUAUGGGAUAUGAUAAUAAAAAUAUUUUCUAUACCUAUGAA
Molecule: long non-coding RNA, 1372 nt
Organism: Arvicola amphibius (Eurasian water vole)
Lineage: Eukaryota; Metazoa; Chordata; Mammalia; Rodentia; Cricetidae
Exons: 2
Source: RefSeq, a predicted model, not a curated record